Molecule: ribosomal RNA, 355 nt
Filed under: uncultured bacterium
Lineage: Bacteria
Description: bacterial SSU rRNA
Rfam family: Bacterial small subunit ribosomal RNA
Source: RNAcentral
AGAGUUUGAUCAUGGCUCAGGAUGAGCGCUAGCUACAGGCUUAACACAUGCAAGUCGAGGGAAACGACAUCGAAAGCUUGCUUUUGAUGGUCGUCGACCGGCGCACGGGUGAGUAACGCGUAUCCAACCUGCCUUACACUCUUGGACAGCCUUCUGAAAGGGAGAUUAAUACAAGAUGUUAUCAUGAGUAAGCAUUUUCACAUGAUUAAAGGUUUACCGGUGUAAGAUGGGGAUGCGUUCCAUUAGAUAGUAGGCGGGGUAACGGCCCACCUAGUCUUCGAUGGAUAGGGGUUCUGAGAGGAAGGUCCCCCACAUUGGAACUGAGACACGGUCCAAACUCCUACGGGAGGCAGCA